UGGGGAAUAUUGCACAAUGGGCGCAAGCCUGAUGCAGCGACGCCGCGUGGGGGAUGAAGGCCUUCGGGUUGUAAACUCCUUUCGCUACCGACGAAGCCCUUUGGGGUGACGGUAGGUGGAGAAGAAGCACCGGCUAACUACGUGCCAGCAGCCGCGGUAAUACGUAGGGUGCGAGCGUUGUCCGGAUUUACUGGGCGUAAAGAGCUCGUAGGUGGUUUGUCGCGUCGUCUGUGAAAUUCCGGGGCUUAACUCCGGGCGUGCAGGCGAUACGGGCAUAACUUGAGUGCUGUAGGGGUAACUGGAAUUCCUGGUGUAGCGGUGGAAUGCGCAGAUAUCAGGAGGAACACCGAUGGCGAAGGCAGGUUACUGGGCAGUUACUGACGCUGAGGAGCGAAAGCAUGGGUAGCGAACAGG
Molecule: ribosomal RNA, 414 nt
Filed under: uncultured bacterium
Lineage: Bacteria
Description: bacterial SSU rRNA
Rfam family: Bacterial small subunit ribosomal RNA
Source: RNAcentral